RNAcentral lists this ribosomal RNA (500 nucleotides) under uncultured bacterium. RNAcentral describes it as "partial 16S ribosomal RNA". It matches the Rfam family "Bacterial small subunit ribosomal RNA", at positions 30 to 523 of the family's 1533-position model. The record is from RNAcentral.
AUUGAACGCUGGCGGCAGGCCUAACACAUGCAAGUCGAGCGGAUGAAGGGAGCUUGCUCCUGGAUUCAGCGGCGGACGGGUGAGUAAUGCCUAGGAAUCUGCCUGGUAGUGGGGGACAACGUUUCGAAAGGAACGCUAAUACCGCAUACGUCCUACGGGAGAAAGCAGGGGACCUUCGGGCCUUGCGCUAUCAGAUGAGCCUAGGUCGGAUUAGCUAGUUGGUGAGGUAAUGGCUCACCAAGGCGACGAUCCGUAACUGGUCUGAGAGGAUGAUCAGUCACACUGGAACUGAGACACGGUCCAGACUCCUACGGGAGGCAGCAGUGGGGAAUAUUGGACAAUGGGCGAAAGCCUGAUCCAGCCAUGCCGCGUGUGUGAAGAAGGUCUUCGGAUUGUAAAGCACUUUAAGUUGGGAGGAAGGGUUGUAGAUUAAUACUCUGCAAUUUUGACGUUACCGACAGAAUAAGCACCGGCUAACUCUGUGCCAGCCGCCGCCGUAA